UACGAAGGGGGCUAGCGUUGCUCGGAAUUACUGGGCGUAAAGAGCGCGCAGGCGGUCGUUCAAGUCGAGUGUGAAAGCCCCCGGCUCAACUGGGGAGGGUCACUCGAUACUGAUCGACUGGAAGGCAGGAGAGGGAAGCGGAAUUCCCGGUGUAGUGGUGAAAUGCGUAGAUAUCGGGAGGAACACCAGUGGCGAAGGCGGCUUCCUGGCCUGUUCUUGACGCUGAGGCGCGAAAGCUAGGGGAGCAAACGGG
Molecule: ribosomal RNA, 253 nt
Filed under: uncultured bacterium
Lineage: Bacteria
Description: partial 16S ribosomal RNA
Rfam family: Bacterial small subunit ribosomal RNA
Source: RNAcentral